GGCGACGUGGUGCAAUGGUUAGCACGUUAAGAAAACGGCAUUAUUAUCGUAUUCUUGAAGGUCCUAGUUCGACUCCAGGCGCUGCUG
This is a non-coding RNA of Trichophaea hybrida, 87 nucleotides long. The record is from the annotation of a GenBank genome assembly. Lineage: Eukaryota; Fungi; Ascomycota; Pezizomycetes; Pezizales; Pyronemataceae.